GUGCCAGCAGCCGCGGUAAUUCCAGCUCCAAUAGCGUAUAUUAAAGUUGUUGCAGUUAAAAAGCUCGUAGUUGGACCAGGCCGGGCGGGAGUGGUGUGUCGCAAGGCGCAGCGCGUCAGCCCGGGAUUAGGGGAGCUGUCAAUAGACAACGAUCCCCGGGUUACUGUGAAGAAAUUAGAGUGUUUAAAGCAGGCAAUCGCUUGGAUACAUCAGCAUGGAAUAACAAGAUAGGACUGGCGUCCAGCUUGUUGGUUUGGGGGCGCAAGUAAUGAUUAAUAGGGGCGGUUGGGGGCAUUAGUAUUCAGCAGUCAGAGGUGAAAUUCUUGGAUUUGGUGAAGACUAACUAGAGCGAAAGCAUUUGCCAAGGAUGUUUUCAUUAAUCAAGAACGAAAGUUAGGGGAUCGAAGACGAUCAGAUACCGUCGUAGUCUUAACUAUAAACGAUGCCGACUGGGGACUGGCUUCUGUCGUGCGCGACGGGGCCAGGACCCGCGAGAAAUCAAAGUGUAUGGGUUCUGGGGGGAGUAUGGUCGCAAGGCUGAAACUUAAAGGAAUUGACGGAAGGGCACCACCAGGAGUGGAGCCUGCGGCUUAAUUUGACUCAACACGGGAAAACUCACCAGGUCCGGACAUGGCAAGGAUUGACAGAUUGAGAGCGCUUUCAUGAUUCUGUGGGUGGUGGUGCAUGGCCGUUCUUAGUUGGUGGAGUGAUUUGUCUGGUUAAUUCCGAUAACGAACGAGACCUCUGCUGCUAGCUGGUGUGGUGUAUGUGGAUAGACCAACUCACUAACAGGACUGACCGCGCUUAGCGGUCGGAAGUUCGAGGCAAUAACAGGUCUGUGAUGCCCUUAGAUGUUCUGGGCUGCACGCGCGCUACACUGACCGAGGCAGCGGGUGACCUUUGCCGAGAGGCAUGGGGAAUCGCGAAACCCGGUCGUGCUGGGGAUAGAUCAUUGCAAUUAUUGGUCUUGAACGAGGAAUUCCUAGUAAGCGCAAGUCAUCAGCUUGCGCUGAUUACGUCCCUGCCCUUUGCACUCACCGCCCGUC
Molecule: ribosomal RNA, 1046 nt
Filed under: uncultured eukaryote
Lineage: Eukaryota
Description: bacterial SSU rRNA
Rfam family: Eukaryotic small subunit ribosomal RNA
Source: RNAcentral